This 278-nucleotide ribosomal RNA is filed under the name uncultured bacterium. Its description in RNAcentral is "partial 16S ribosomal RNA". It matches the Rfam family "Bacterial small subunit ribosomal RNA", at positions 506 to 784 of the family's 1533-position model. The record is from RNAcentral.
UGCCAGCCGCCGCGGUAAUACGGGGGGGACUAACGUUGUUCGGAUUUACUGGGCGUAAAGGGCGCGUAGGCGGACUUUCAAGUCGGAUGUGAAAUCCACAGGCUUAACUUGUGGCUUGCAUUCGAUACUGUUGGUCUUGAGUAUAUCAGAGGAAAGCGGAAUUCCAGGUGUAGCGGUGAAAUGCGUAGAUAUCUGGAAGAACACCAAACGCGAAGGCAUUCUGCUGGUCAUUACCUGACGCUGAGGGACGAAAGCGUGGGAGCGAACGGGAUUAGAUA